UAAUAUUUAGGAAAAUAUGAAUUUCAGCUUAAAUAUGAUGCUUGGCUAGAUUCAGUCUUCUAGGAUUAGUCUCAUUUCUUCAGGAGAACCCGGUGUUUCUAUGGGGUUCCGUAAACUUCUCAACAGAAUCCGCAUCAUGUUUACAAACAAGAGGGUACCAGCAGCAGCAGAUAGAAAUAAGGAGGCUAUUUGUUCUGUUUUAAAGAAAAUCCUACCUACUGAUAUGGACCUUAGAGCUUUAGAAAUUGCUUCUGGUUCUGGUUUGCAUGCAGGACAUCUAGCAGCCGCGUUCCCGAGAAUAACUUGGAUACCUAGUGAACUAGAUAGAUCCCACUGGCCUAGUAUAUUAGCAUACAAGGCCGACUUCUCCAAUAUUGAGAAUCCCCUGGAGAUAGAUGUAAUCCAGGCUCCGGGAUCCUGGAUCCCUCAGAUCCAGUCACAGUCUAUAGAUAUCAUUAUUAAUAUAAAUAUGAUCCAUAUCUCUCCCUGGUCAGCAACACAGGGACUAUUCAGGGCUGCCGGAGAAUUGUUAAAGAAGGACGGAGUGUUGAUUACAUACGGACCAUACUCAAAGAACGGUAUUCUGAGACCUGAAAGUAAUGCAAACUUUCACAGGCAGUUACAAAACCAGAAUUCUGAAUGGGGUAUUCGAGAUAUCACAGACCUUUCAGAAGAGGGAAAUGAGCAUGGUUUACGGUUACAUGAAGAGUUUGAUAUGCCGGCAAAUAACAAGAUACUUGUCUUCAGAAGAAAUACUUGCUUGGGAUAGAUAAAUACAUAGAUUCGAUUCAUCAACACAAAGUUACUGCAAUGAAUACUAUAUACUGUAUAGUGUACGUUUAUGUUUCUCUAUAAGCAAUUUUAGAUUAAUUUUAUUAAGAAUUAGUAACUGUACAGUGUACACUUCGUUUAGAAUCUACAAAGGAUAAACAGGUUACCAUUACAUUAAAAAAUAAUGGUCCUGUACUCUGGACAAGGAAAAUGUCAUCCUGAAUUCAGUUUUUUUUAAUAAUGUAGUUUUUUAAUAUAAAAAUAAUAUUAAAGAAAUGAAAAAAAAAUUGAAAAAAGUUUGACAAUUAUUGGAGUGAUGCGACGAUUUUGAGGAAAAUUUUUAGUUUUGCCUAUUUUUAUACAGAAAAUAUUUUUGCUAUUUUGUAUAAUACUUUUAUUAGAUUAAAGGAAUAGACAUUUACUCGUAAUAUGAUUUAGGUAUUUAAUAAACAAAUGUGAAUUAAUUCCGUGACUAACUGAUGUUCAAUCAGACCAACGCAUUUAGAUCAAUUCUGUACUAGCCGAUACGAAGGAGCUUUCCUAUUUUCUUUGUUCCUUAAAUGCCUUAUAUGCAGUUAGUUUCGUAUGUUUUUCAUGAAUUAAACUAGUUAAUUUUUAUUGUCCUAGCACCAUUUACUUGUUUCAAUCGAAUAAAAAAUAUUUUGA
RNAcentral lists this unclassified non-coding RNA (1437 nucleotides) under Eurytemora carolleeae. RNAcentral's name for it is "methyltransferase-like 26". Lineage: Eukaryota; Metazoa; Arthropoda; Copepoda; Calanoida; Temoridae. The record is from RNAcentral.